This 82-nucleotide unclassified non-coding RNA is filed under the name Pseudomonas jessenii. Lineage: Bacteria; Pseudomonadati; Pseudomonadota; Gammaproteobacteria; Pseudomonadales; Pseudomonadaceae. The record is from RNAcentral.
UGUAGGAGCGAGCUCGCUCGCGAUGGAGUGUCAGUAGCCCCUCUUUGUCUGACACACCAUCGCGAGCGAGCUCGCUCCUACA